Molecule: ribosomal RNA, 433 nt
Filed under: uncultured bacterium
Lineage: Bacteria
Description: bacterial SSU rRNA
Rfam family: Bacterial small subunit ribosomal RNA
Source: RNAcentral
AACGAACGCUGGCGGCAUGCCUAAUACAUGCAAGUCGAACGAGAUCUUCGGAUCUAGUGGCGCACGGGUACGUAACGCGUGGGAAUCUACCCUUGGGUUCGGAAUAACAGUUAGAAAUGACUGCUAAUACCGGAUGAUGACGUAAGUCCAAAGAUUUAUCGCCCAAGGAUGAGCCCGCGUAAGAUUAGCUAGUUGGUGAGGUAAAGGCUCACCAAGGCUACGAUCUUUAGCUGGUCUGAGAGGAUGAUCAGCCACACUGGGACUGAGACACGGCCCAGACUCCUACGGGAGGCAGCAGUAGGGAAUAUUGGACAAUGGGCGAAAGCCUGAUCCAGCAAUGCCGCGUGAGUGAUGAAGGCCUUAGGGUUGUAAAGCUCUUUUACCCGAGAUGAUAAUGACAGUAUCGGGAGAAUAAGCUCCGGCUAACUCCGUG